CGCUAUCACUCCUACGGGAGGCAGCAGUAGGGAAUCUUCCACAAUGGGCGCAAGCCUGAUGGAGCAACACCGCGUGAGUGAAGAAGGGUUUCGGCUCGUAAAGCUCUGUUGUUAAAGAAGAACACGUAUGAGAGUAACUGUUCAUACGUUGACGGUAUUUAACCAGAAAGUCACGGCUAACUACGUGCCAGCAGCCGCGGUAAUACGUAGGUGGCAAGCGUUAUCCGGAUUUAUUGGGCGUAAAGAGAGUGCAGGCGGUUUCUAAGUCUGAUGUGAAAGCCUUCGGCUUAACCGGAGAAGUGCAUCGGAAACUGGAUAACUUGAGUGCAGAAGAGGGUAGUGGAACCCCAUGUGUAGCGGUGGAAUGCGUAGAUAUAUGGAAGAACACCAGUGGCGAAGGCGGCUACCUGGUCUGCAACUGACGCUGAGACUCGAAAGCAUGGGUAGCGAACAGGAUUAGAUACCCUGGUAG
Molecule: ribosomal RNA, 472 nt
Filed under: uncultured bacterium
Lineage: Bacteria
Description: bacterial SSU rRNA
Rfam family: Bacterial small subunit ribosomal RNA
Source: RNAcentral